GUGAUGCUUGUGCGCUCUAUUCCAGCCUGAACCUGGGGCUUUUUCGUAACAAAAGAUGUGUUUAUACGUUUGGAUGAAAGAAGCUAACAUGGUAUCCACGGGGAAACGGUCUAGAGGUCCGUGCGAUGCGGAAAGGAUGCGGUUCAAAGCUCGCUACGCAGGCACCCGGCAGCGGUAGGGCAACGCUGCGGUGCUUGCACGCUCAACACGCAGAGCGAACGCUUACGCGUAACCGGGCACCCUGCGACUAUUACGCUUGCACAAACACCCAUAAGAACAUAUACUGGAAGUGGUCAGGCCUAUAUGCGGCCGUCGCUGUCGGGUGAACGAGGCGGCCGCGCAUAGGCCGUGCGUUACCCGUGCACCGUCCGGUAGAGUCGCGCCCGUGCACUGUAUGUAUGUAUGUAUGUAUGUAUGUAUGUAUGUAUGUAUGUAUGUAUGUAUGUAUGUAUGUAUGUAUGUAUGUAUGUAUGUAUGUAUGUAUGUAUGUAUGUAUGUAUGUAUGUAUGCGUGCGUGCGUGCGUGCGUGCGCCCAUCUUCAAGGAUACAGACUACCGGACACAGAGGCGACGGGUGCUGCGAGCAGUACCAGUGGUACCCGCGCGUCACGUCCAUCCUAAAGUCCAGUCUCUGGGGGGCGCCCAUCUUCAAGGAUACAGACUACCGGACACAGAGGCGACGGGUGCUGCGAGCAGUACCAGUGGUACCCGCGCGUCACGUCCAUCCUAAAGUCCAGUCUCUGGGGUGCGCCCAUCUUCAAGGAUGCAGACUACCGGACACAGAGGCGACGGGUGCUGCGAGCAGUACCAGUGGUACCCGCGCGUCACGUCCAUCCUAAAGUCCAGUCUCUGGGGGGCGCCCAUCUUCAAGGAUACAGACUACCGGACACAGAGGCGACGGGUGCUGCGAGCAGUACCAGUGGUACCCGCGCGUCACGUCCAUCCUAGAGUCCAGUCUCUGGGGGCUGUGCUCGCUGCCUGCAGGCAUCGCGCAUGCCGACGCGGGACGCACCCUGUGUCCUCGUGUCGCUAACCAACUCUACCUGUUUGUCGCUUUUCGGGCACGACAGGAAAUCCAUCACUUGGCAUCAGGGUGAUCCGUUCAUCGGGGUGCACGCUCUCGAAACCUUUUUCACAUUACAGAAUUCCAAAACGAACCAGAUAUUCGGGAACAGUGCCAGCGUCGGAGAACAUGCCCUGCUCCGCGACGAGUGCCGGCACCGGCACCACUGGCGCACUCAGAAGCGUGGCCUGCAUCGCUCGUGGUGUCUGUGUUCGUGCCGAUAUACCGCCUCCGCCCUGAACGCCAUUCUGCGAAAAAUCGGCAACGGACGGUCGCCUGUCUCCGCACCAGCGUGAACACUGCAUUGUACCUGAUACUGUCAGAAAAAACGAUACGUCUGGCAUACGACCUUUCGAGGUCACAGAAUCACCGCAGCCGUUCAGAGCACAUCGGCGAGCUCGCGCACAUUCGCGCGUAGCAGCUCCAGCAUUUCGGCGCUGACGUGGUACUCGACGGCGCCACCAGUCAGAGUGCCUGGUUGCAUGCAGGCAAAAGGAAUGCCCAGAUCCGCGCUAGCCAUACCGGUUACCCCGAAGGUUCGCAUGAUCAUGGAGCUCGUUUCCGAAAAGUGCUCACUGGCUUCCACGGGGCUUGCAUUAUCCGGAAUGGGCUGCACGAAAAGCGUACUAUACUGAGCUGCGACCCCAGCCAGUAGCGAGUUGAGUUUCUCAAUCACCGUUUGAGCUGCCUUGGUGGGCGUCACGUUUCGGGAUACCGGCAACCAUGGCCGAUUGUAGUGCACAUCGACAUUGUUCCAGACCAUGAGCUGUACCUUGGCGUCAGUCUCUCCGUUCUGACGCAUUUGGAAGAGCUCCUCCAUAAACGUCUCGACGCGGUGGAAGUCC
This 1907-nucleotide unclassified non-coding RNA is filed under the name Cyanidioschyzon merolae strain 10D. RNAcentral's name for it is "hypothetical transcript". The record is from RNAcentral. Lineage: Eukaryota; Rhodophyta; Bangiophyceae; Cyanidiales; Cyanidiaceae.